This 65-nucleotide transfer RNA is filed under the name Sinocrepis fulva. RNAcentral describes it as "tRNA-Phe". The record is from RNAcentral. Lineage: Eukaryota; Metazoa; Arthropoda; Insecta; Coleoptera; Chrysomelidae.
AUCUAAAUAGCUUAUAAAGAGCAUAAUAUUGAAGAUAUUAGGGAAAUAAUUUUUAUUUUUAGAUA